CAAAUGAGCCAGGUGCGAUAGCAUCCCUUGAUUACUCUUAAUUACAUAAUUAGUGGGUAGGUAUAGUCAAUACCAUUUACGAAGGUGUGCUUACGAUACCUGGACGGAUUUAAUCUUCAUGUAGUUUUCAAUCGUUUGAUUAAAUUACUGCAGUUCGCCAUGAUUACUUUUCAUGUCUCAGGAUUUUUCCUAUUGUAAAUAACAUACCUAUUGCAUGACUUUUAUAAUUAGUUUGAAUUACUUCAUCGAUGGUGUUCCUCAUACGAUAUUACCUUAUUUGUGACCUUUCAAAGCGUAUGUAAUAUGUAUAUUGAAUUUAAAAAAUAGCAAAUCCGCAUUAUAUUUACAAAUUAUUCUUGUAAAAUAAUUAGAUAUGUGUAAGGUUAACACACUGUAAUGUAUAACAAUAAAAAUCCGAAUAAAUGAAUAAUUCAUAAUACCUAAUAACCAAGGAAUAAUUUUUGAGCAUACCAGUUUUUCUGUUGUAAAGUUAAAUUAUAGAAUAUAUUCCUAAUAUUUGUAUGAAGUUGAUAACGGUAAUUCAAUAACAUUAUUCGUUAGGAUAAUUUUAUAUUUUUCGUUUUAUUCUCUACUUAGUUUAUUAUACUGGUACAUAUUGCAAUUUGUAGUUAAUCGAAAUUUGAAACGAACAACUUUGGAGUGCGCGUAAUACCGAUAACUUCUUUGAA
Non-coding RNA from Cinara cedri, 689 nucleotides. Lineage: Eukaryota; Metazoa; Arthropoda; Insecta; Hemiptera; Aphididae. The record is from the annotation of a GenBank genome assembly.